CGAAGGGAGCUAGCGUUGUUCGGAAUUACUGGGCGUAAAGGGCGCGUAGGCGGUUUGACAAGUUGGAUGUGAAAGUCCAGGGCUCAACCCUGGAAUUGCAUUCAAGACUGUCUUACUUGGAUUCGGUAGAGGUUGGUGGAAUUCCCAGUGUAGAGGUGAAAUUCGUAGAGAUUGGGAAGAACACCCGUGGCGAAGGCGGCCAACUGGACCGACAUCGACGCUGAGGCGCGAAAGCGUGGGGAUCAAACAGGAUUAGAUACCCUGGUAGUCCACGCCGUAAACGAUGCAUGCUAGACGUUGGAAGCCUCUGACUUCUUGUGUCGCAGCUAACGCAAUAAGCAUGCCGCCUGGGGAGUACGGCCGCAAGGUUG
This 371-nucleotide ribosomal RNA is filed under the name uncultured organism. RNAcentral's name for it is "bacterial SSU rRNA". It matches the Rfam family "Bacterial small subunit ribosomal RNA", at positions 526 to 896 of the family's 1533-position model. The record is from RNAcentral.